CAGUCGCCGCGGGAACACCAGCAGCCCAAGUGGUGGUCGCGCUUAUUGGGCCUAAAGCGCUCGUAGCCUGGCCGGUAAGUUCCCCGUGAAAUCGGGUCGCCCAACGAUUCGGCUUGCGGGGAAUACUGUCGGUCUUGGGGCCGGGAGACGCCGAGGGUACUCCGGGGGUAGCGGUGAAAUGCUGUAAUCCUCGGGGGACUACCAGUGGCGAAGGCGCUCGGCGAUAACGGGCCUGACGGUGAGGGGCGAAAGCUGGGGGCGCGAACGGGAUUAGAUACCCCUGUAGUCCCUGUCUCUUAUA
Molecule: ribosomal RNA, 301 nt
Filed under: uncultured bacterium
Lineage: Bacteria
Description: partial 16S ribosomal RNA
Rfam family: Archaeal small subunit ribosomal RNA
Source: RNAcentral